UACGUAGGGUGCGAGCGUUAAUCGGAAUUACUGGGCGUAAAGCGUGCGCAGGCGGCUCUUCAAGUCAGGUGUGAAAGCCCCGGGCUUAACCUGGGAAUUGCGCUUGAAACUGAGGGGCUAGAGUGUGGCAGAGGGAGGUGGAAUUCCUGGUGUAGCGGUGAAAUGCGUAGAUAUCAGGAGGAACACCGAUGGCGAAGGCAGCCUCCUGGGCCAACGCUGACGCUCAGGCACGAAAGCGUGGGGAUCAAAAGGG
This 253-nucleotide ribosomal RNA is filed under the name uncultured bacterium. RNAcentral's name for it is "partial 16S ribosomal RNA". It matches the Rfam family "Bacterial small subunit ribosomal RNA", at positions 524 to 776 of the family's 1533-position model. The record is from RNAcentral.